GAAGCUCAUCGGUAGAGCACCUGCCUUGCAUACAGAAAGGUACCAGGUUCAAUCCCUGGAAUCUCCA
Molecule: non-coding RNA, 67 nt
Organism: Podarcis lilfordi (Lilford's wall lizard)
Lineage: Eukaryota; Metazoa; Chordata; Lepidosauria; Squamata; Lacertidae
Source: the annotation of a GenBank genome assembly